AGGACUAACGCUGGCGGCGUGCCUAACACAUGCAAGUCGAACGAGAGUAGCAAUACUCUAGUGGCAGACGGGUGAGUAACACGUGGUCAACCUACCUUUAAGUGGGGGAUAACUAGCCGAAAGGUUAGCUAAUACCGCAUACGAUCUUCGCGUGGCAUCACAUGAAGAUGAAAGGAGCAAUCCGCUGAAAGACGGGACCGCGUCCCAUUAGCCAGUUGGUGGGUAACGGCCUACCAAAGCAACGAUGGGUAGCUGGCUUGAGAGAGCGACCAGCCACACUGGGACUGAGACACGGCCCAGACUCCUACGGGAGGCAGCAGUGAGGAAUUUUCCGCAAUGGGCGAAAGCCUGACGGAGCGACGCCGCGUGUGGGAUGAAGGCCUUCGGGUCGUAAACCACUGUCGAAGGGAAGAUAUUGACGGUACCCUUGGAGGAAGCCCGGCUAACUACGCGCCAGCAGCCGC
This 464-nucleotide ribosomal RNA is filed under the name uncultured bacterium. Its description in RNAcentral is "SSU rRNA". It matches the Rfam family "Bacterial small subunit ribosomal RNA", at positions 26 to 518 of the family's 1533-position model. The record is from RNAcentral.